AGUGUUUGUAAAAGGUACUAUGUGAUGACAUUGUGUAACUGAAAGCCUCUUUUUAUUGACAGGUCAUGAAAACUCAAGGCUGGAGAAAUUUCUCUGUGUCGGACUGCAGAGUUACACUCCCCACAGCCUGAAGGAAUGAACUUCCAGGAGGAAAAAUGGUCCACAUCAGUUUGGGAUCCUCUGGAUUUCUUGACAUGUUCAAAAUAGGACAGCAGAAACAACUAUACCUCCCUAAGAAAAGGGACACACGUGACAUAUUUCCCCCCCUCAGUGAUGGCCCAGAUGAUAAUUAUGUCCAUGUCCCCCUGACCACAGUGAUGUGACUUUCCAACCUGCAGAUCUGGAGACUUUGACUGAAGAAUAAAGCCAUGUCCUGGAAAAGAGUGAUGGAAGGGAAACAAUAAGGGCUAUUCAGUAACUUAGGUUGGCAUUGAUGAGUCUGCAGGGGAUCCUGGAUAAAUUAUGGAAUUGUAGCAUGGUUUGGGUUUGAAAGGACCUGAAACAUCAUUUCAUCCCAACCCCCUGUCAUGGGCAGGGACACCUUCCACUGUCCCAGGCUGCUCAGAGCCCCAUCCCACCUGGCCUUGGACACUGCCAGGGAUGGGGCAGCCACAGCUUCUCAACGCAGUCUGAGCCAGUGCCUCACCACCCUCACAGCAAAGAAUUUCCUCCUGAUAUCUAAAUCCCACAAGCCUCUCAUGAGACAGUUCUUCCUUCCGCGUGAUUUCAGCACUUGGUCUACAAAAUCUAUGGAUCUGUCUAUCCCAAGUGUCUAUCCCAGAAAUUGCCACUCUCUUCUGGGUUUCAGACUAACUUGAGAGGAUUUAAGCAUAGUGUUAGUAAUGCCACUGCUGUGGAAAAGCCAUAACCAUGAAGGAAAACAGAAACAGG
RNAcentral lists this long non-coding RNA (891 nucleotides) under Zonotrichia albicollis (white-throated sparrow). Its description in RNAcentral is "lncRNA (ENSZALG00000017102.1)". Lineage: Eukaryota; Metazoa; Chordata; Aves; Passeriformes; Passerellidae. The record is from RNAcentral.